CUUGGUCAUUUAGAGGAAGUAAAAGACGAAACAAGGUUUCCGUAGGUGAACCUGCGGAGGGAUCAUUACCAGAGAGGAGCCAGUUCUCCUCGGGGCUCGGCCCCGCGGGC
RNAcentral lists this ribosomal RNA (110 nucleotides) under Stereocaulon alpinum. RNAcentral's name for it is "partial small subunit ribosomal RNA". The stretch from base 1 to 68 matches the Rfam family "Eukaryotic small subunit ribosomal RNA", at positions 1764 to 1831 of the family's 1831-position model. The record is from RNAcentral. Lineage: Eukaryota; Fungi; Ascomycota; Lecanoromycetes; Lecanorales; Stereocaulaceae.